GGGAAUUCCGACAUGUUCAAGGGAGAUGAUGUGACAUACAAUCUCUUUGUCCAGUUUCUUGCAACCGAGUAUGAUCAAUUGAAUUUGACUGCUAUGUGUGAGCACAUGGAGGAGAUGGCUUUUGAGUUACAUCCUGAUUCUUUCC
This 145-nucleotide small RNA is filed under the name Paramoeba aestuarina. Its description in RNAcentral is "partial transfer-messenger RNA". Lineage: Eukaryota; Discosea; Flabellinia; Dactylopodida; Paramoebidae. The record is from RNAcentral.